RNAcentral lists this ribosomal RNA (441 nucleotides) under Streptococcus cristatus. RNAcentral's name for it is "bacterial SSU rRNA". It matches the Rfam family "Bacterial small subunit ribosomal RNA", at positions 78 to 504 of the family's 1533-position model. Lineage: Bacteria; Bacillati; Bacillota; Bacilli; Lactobacillales; Streptococcaceae. The record is from RNAcentral.
UACUUGCUCUUCUGGAUGAGUUGCGAACGGGUGAGUAACGCGUAGGUAACCUGCCUGGUAGCGGGGGAUAACUAUUGGAAACGAUAGCUAAUACCGCAUAACAUUGACUAUUGCAUGAUAGUCAAUUGAAAGGUGCAAUUGCACCACUACCAGAUGGACCUGCGUUGUAUUAGCUAGUUGGUGGGGUAACGGCUCACCAAGGCGACGAUACAUAGCCGACCUGAGAGGGUGAUCGGCCACACUGGGACUGAGACACGGCCCAGACUCCUACGGGAGGCAGCAGUAGGGAAUCUUCGGCAAUGGACGGAAGUCUGACCGAGCAACGCCGCGUGAGUGAAGAAGGUUUUCGGAUCGUAAAGCUCUGUUGUAAGAGAAGAACGAGUGUGAGAGUGGAAAGUUCACACUGUGACGGUAUCUUACCAGAAAGGGACGGCUAACUAC